This 31-nucleotide non-coding RNA is filed under the name Mus musculus (house mouse). The record is from RNAcentral. Lineage: Eukaryota; Metazoa; Chordata; Mammalia; Rodentia; Muridae.
UUCCACUGAUGCCUCUGCUACAUAUGCAGCA